Mesocricetus auratus (golden hamster) is the source of this 859-nucleotide long non-coding RNA. RefSeq lists it as uncharacterized. The transcript is spliced from 4 exons. The record is from RefSeq and is a predicted model, not a curated record. NCBI's taxonomy places the organism in Eukaryota, Metazoa, Chordata, Mammalia, Rodentia, Cricetidae.
GUCAACAUGUAACGCCAUUGGGGGUAGGAAGCCUGGAACUAUUCUCCGAUCCUUGAGCCUUGAGUGCAGCAUGUGAUAAAGGCGGCUCAUUUAAGGCUAAGUGCUCCAAGGUCGCUCACCCUCUGCACUUUGUCCAGUUGGGGACCCUUACCACAAUCAAAUCAGACGCCUGCAAGAAUUAUAAAUAUCGGGAGACUUACAAGUUUGAGAAAACGAUGUAGGAAUCUCGGUGUUUUUCUGGGCCAUCCCAUUUCAUGUAGAUUGCUGUCCCAUGUGAAGACAAGCAAACACUGCCUGUUAGACACAACAGAGGUGGUGCUGUCUAUGUGAUGAGUUAUGGCCUGAGUGAUACUUCCAUCAUGGAGUCAGUUGUGCUAAGGUCUGGCGGCCUUUUGAGGUCUGGGGCUCUGUUGCAAAACAAUUUGUCCUCUGACUUCUACACAUACACUCUGGCACAUGUGUGUCCCCCAUCAACAAAGGAAUAUGGGUAUUUAUCUAUAUAUUUUUAAAAACAUAAAAGACUGAACUGGUAAAAUAUUCUCUGGUGAUAAAAUAACCCCUUUUCUCCUUCAAGUACCUUUUAUCCAAGUAUCUUGCCACAACCACGGAACAGAAACUAAGACGGGGGUAGAAUAACUUUUGCAUGUGCAAUGAUUCCUGCUGAUUUGCUUGCACACGAUUUCUUCCACACUUUCCCUUUUCUCUGCCUCAUGAGAUCAAAUGCCACCAGCCCAUACAGAACUUUGAAUUUGCUUGAUAAAUUUGCAGGAGCCUUGGCAAAAGGACCUAAGCAGUCAGGAGAAACUGGCAUUGUAAAGGCUAUGUUGAAGUUACCAAAAUAAAGGACUGGAUAAUUUGG